This 243-nucleotide unclassified non-coding RNA is filed under the name uncultured Helotiales. Its description in RNAcentral is "sequence contains ITS2". The stretch from base 1 to 52 matches the Rfam family "5.8S ribosomal RNA", at positions 103 to 154 of the family's 154-position model. Lineage: Eukaryota; Fungi; Ascomycota; Leotiomycetes; Helotiales. The record is from RNAcentral.
AACGCACAUUGCGCCCCUUGGUAUUCCGAGGGGCAUGCCUGUUCGAGCGUCAUUACAACCCUCAAGCCCAGCUUGGUCUUGGGCCUCGCCACUAACCCGGCGGGCCCUAAAAUCAGUGGCGGUGCCGCCGUGGCCCUGAGCGCAGUAAAUCUCCUCGCUAUAGGGACCCGGUGGACGCUGGCCAGCAACCCCCAACUUUCUACGUUUGACCUCGGAUCAGGUAGGGAUACCCGCUGAACUUAA